RNAcentral lists this unclassified non-coding RNA (409 nucleotides) under Hevea brasiliensis (rubber tree). Lineage: Eukaryota; Viridiplantae; Streptophyta; Magnoliopsida; Malpighiales; Euphorbiaceae. The record is from RNAcentral.
UGUGCUUACCCAUUCCUCGCCGUUCAACUCCUAUUCUGGUCAUCGGCCAUUGUCUGGCUUGCUUCUUUGUCAAUCAUGGAUCACCUUCCUUUCGAUUUGUCUCAUCGGCACAAGACUGCUCCACCGUUCAACUCUAGCUUCAGCCAAUCAAUCAUUGUGCGAUCCUCUAUCCUCCAUUCUCGGUCGUUGGUUCACUUCAUCGAUCCUUCUUUGUACUAGUUCAGUUCUCAUCAUUGGCGCUACUCUAAUACUGGCUAGCACUCCUUGUUGGCGAUUUGCAAGAUUUGGUCAUUCUCCUUCACGACAUUAUUUUUUCAUUUCUACAUUUAUUGCUCUUGAUUUUGGUCCCUCGCAAGUACCUCUAGAACUUGGUACCUCUACAGAGAAUGUAAGUGUAGGUCUCCGGUGC